This 425-nucleotide ribosomal RNA is filed under the name uncultured bacterium. Its description in RNAcentral is "partial 16S ribosomal RNA". It matches the Rfam family "Bacterial small subunit ribosomal RNA", at positions 354 to 796 of the family's 1533-position model. The record is from RNAcentral.
GUGGGGAAUCUUGCGCAAUGGGCGAAAGCCUGACGCAGCCAUGCCGCGUGGAUGAUGAAGGUCUUAGGAUUGUAAAAUCCUUUCACCGGUGAAGAUAAUGACUGUAGCCGGAGAAGAAGCCCCGGCUAACUUCGUGCCAGCAGCCGCGGUAAUACGAAGGGGGCUAGCGUUGCUCGGAUUUACUGGGCGUAAAGGGCGCGUAGGCGGACAUUUAAGUCAGGGGUGAAAUCCCGGGGCUCAACGUCGGAACUGCCUUUGGUACUGGGUGUCUUGAGUAUGAGAGAGGUGUGUGGAACUCCGAGUGUAGAGGUGAAAUUCGUAGAUAUUCGGAAGAACGCCAGUGGCGAAGGCGACACACUGGCUCAUUACUGACGCUGAGGCGCGAAAGCGUGGGGAGCAAACAGGAUUAGAAACCCGGGUAGUCC